This 1086-nucleotide ribosomal RNA is filed under the name Vibrio sp. 794M. Its description in RNAcentral is "bacterial SSU rRNA". It matches the Rfam family "Bacterial small subunit ribosomal RNA", at positions 382 to 1461 of the family's 1533-position model. The record is from RNAcentral. Lineage: Bacteria; Pseudomonadati; Pseudomonadota; Gammaproteobacteria; Vibrionales; Vibrionaceae.
CCUGAUGCGCCAUGCCGCGUGUGUGAAGAAGGCCUUCGGGUUGUAAAGCACUUUCAGUCGUGAGGAAGGUGGUGUAGUUAAUAGCUGCAUUACUUGACGUUAGCGACAGAAGAAGCACCGGCUAACUCCGUGCCAGCAGCCGCGGUAAUACGGAGGGUGCGAGCGUUAAUCGGAAUUACUGGGCGUAAAGCGCAUGCAGGUGGUUUGUUAAGUCAGAUGUGAAAGCCCGGGGCUCAACCUCGGAAUAGCAUUUGAAACUGGCAGACUAGAGUACUGUAGAGGGGGGUAGAAUUUCAGGUGUAGCGGUGAAAUGCGUAGAGAUCUGAAGGAAUACCGGUGGCGAAGGCGGCCCCCUGGACAGAUACUGACACUCAGAUGCGAAAGCGUGGGGAGCAAACAGGAUUAGAUACCCUGGUAGUCCACGCCGUAAACGAUGUCUACUUGGAGGUUGUGGCCUUGAGCCGUGGCUUUCGGAGCUAACGCGUUAAGUAGACCGCCUGGGGAGUACGGUCGCAAGAUUAAAACUCAAAUGAAUUGACGGGGGCCCGCACAAGCGGUGGAGCAUGUGGUUUAAUUCGAUGCAACGCGAAGAACCUUACCUACUCUUGACAUCCAGAGAACUUUCCAGAGAUGGAUUGGUGCCUUCGGGAACUCUGAGACAGGUGCUGCAUGGCUGUCGUCAGCUCGUGUUGUGAAAUGUUGGGUUAAGUCCCGCAACGAGCGCAACCCUUAUCCUUGUUUGCCAGCGAGUAAUGUCGGGAACUCCAGGGAGACUGCCGGUGAUAAACCGGAGGAAGGUGGGGACGACGUCAAGUCAUCAUGGCCCUUACGAGUAGGGCUACACACGUGCUACAAUGGCGCAUACAGAGGGCAGCAAGCUAGCGAUAGUGAGCGAAUCCCAAAAAGUGCGUCGUAAUCCGGAUUGGAGUCUGCAACUCGACUCCAUGAAGUCGGAAUCGCUAGUAAUCGUGGAUCAGAAUGCCACGGUGAAAACGUUCCCGGGGCCUUGGACACACCGCCCGUCCCACCAUGGGAGUGGCUGCAAAAGAAGUAGGUAGUUUAACCUUCCGGAGGACGCUUACCCUU